UAAAAGGUAAGCUAAUAAAGCUGUUGGGUUCAUACCCCAUUUAUAAAGGCAUUACUCCUUUCCUUUUUA
Molecule: transfer RNA, 69 nt
Filed under: Cucujoidea sp. 7 KM-2017
Lineage: Eukaryota; Metazoa; Arthropoda; Insecta; Coleoptera
Description: tRNA-Met
Source: RNAcentral